UGGGGAAUAUUGGACAAUGGGCGCAAGCCUGAUGCAGCCAUGCCGCGUGUAUGAAGAAGGCCUUCGGGUUGUAAAGUACUUUCAGCGGGGAGGAAGGUGUUGUGGUUAAUAACCACAGCAAUUGACGUUACCCGCAGAAGAAGCACAGGCUAACUCCGUGCCAGCAGCCGCGGUAAUACGGAGGGUGCAAGCGUUAAUCGGAAUUACUGGGCGUAAAGCGCACGCAGGCGGUCUGUCAAGUCGGAUGUGAAAUCCCCGGGCUCAACCUGGGAACUGCAUCCGAAACUGGCAGGCUUGAGUCUUGUAGAGGGGGGUAGAAUUCCAGGUGUAGCGGUGAAAUGCGUAGAGAUCUGGAGGAAUACCGGUGGCGAAGGCGGCCCCCUGGACAAAGACUGACGCUCAGGUGCGAAAGCGUGGGGAGCAAACA
Molecule: ribosomal RNA, 427 nt
Filed under: uncultured bacterium
Lineage: Bacteria
Description: partial 16S ribosomal RNA
Rfam family: Bacterial small subunit ribosomal RNA
Source: RNAcentral